Molecule: long non-coding RNA, 256 nt
Filed under: Homo sapiens (human)
Lineage: Eukaryota; Metazoa; Chordata; Mammalia; Primates; Hominidae
Description: HSALNT0060658
Source: RNAcentral
CAAAGCACAAAAUGUUCACGGAGGGAAACCCUGGAAUCUCCCCCUGAAAACCUGUUAAUGUGGCUGAGAGCUCAAAACUGAAUCAUUGAAAACAGUAUAUUUUAUGGACAUAGAGAAAGAUGCUGCUUUUCUCCUGACAAUCUUCAAAGAGGGACCAGGUCAUGAUAAAGCAAAGCUGAAAGUCACUGCAGAGCAGGGAACAAAAGCAAAAGGAAGUUUUGCUGCUAACUGUCUCUAUCAAGUUUUUCUACAUUGA